This 653-nucleotide long non-coding RNA is filed under the name Gossypium raimondii (Peruvian cotton). RNAcentral describes it as "long non-coding RNA (GRAI_LNC001554)". The record is from RNAcentral. Lineage: Eukaryota; Viridiplantae; Streptophyta; Magnoliopsida; Malvales; Malvaceae.
GUAAAUUACAUCAGAAUAAGUCUGCUGGUCUGGUGGUUAAAUGGUGUGUUAUUAUGGUGGAGGUCUUGUGUUUGAAUCCAUAUGUAGGCAAGGGUAUUAGUUUUUUUUUUACUUAGAUUUCGGGAUAAAGUUGUGUAAUAGGGGGAUUUUGAGUAGUGGAUGUGUAGUGGGAAUUAGGGUAGAAGAUUAAGGGAUUUUGGGGGUUAUCGGGAUUUUUUUUCCCAUAACCAAAUUUUGACUCUUUUUUCUAAAAAAAUUCUACCGUCUAUUCUUCUCCCUUUUCUCUUGCCAAAAUUCUCUGAGUUUUUCUUUCUCUUUUUUUUCUUCUUCAUGAUUUUUCCCUAAUCCAUUUAUUUUCCUUCAUUUUCGCACGUAGUUAGUGUUCGCUCAGUUUCAGUAAGCGUUUCUCUUUAUUUCUGUUAUGAAUAUCUUAGCGACUAAAGUGGUAAUGUUUUUACUCUACGAUUUGGGUAUAGGGGGAGGCUCGGACUGGUGAAUUCAAUGUUCUCAUCUUAACAAUAGUUAAAUGGAGGGUUAUCAUUGGUGGUAAGUUGGGUUUUUAUUCGUUCUUGGUUGUCAAUUCAGUUGUCAAUCCGUUAAAUUGAUGUUGAGUAUCUUGAUUAUAGGAUUUGAAGUGCUCGGGGACUAUUUUA